Molecule: long non-coding RNA, 1762 nt
Organism: Homo sapiens (human)
Lineage: Eukaryota; Metazoa; Chordata; Mammalia; Primates; Hominidae
Source: Ensembl
GACAACUCGCGGGGAUUGUUUUCCACACCGUGGAAGCUUUGUUCUUUUCGUUUUUUGCAAUAAAUCUUGUUGCUGCUCGCUUUUUGGGUCCACAUUGCUUUUAUGAGCUGUACCACUCACCGUGAAGAUCUGCAGCUUCACUUCAGAGCCUAGCGAGACCACAAGCUCACUGAGAGGAACAAACAACUCCAGACGCGCUGUCUUAAGAGCUAUAACACUCACCGCGAAGGUGUGCAGUUUCACUCCUGAGCUAGUGAGACUACGAAGCCACUGGAACGAAGAAACUCCAACCACGUUUGAACAUCAGAAGGGGCAGACUCCAGACGCUUCAUCUUAAGAGCUGUAACACUCACUGUGAAGGUCUGCAGCUUCACUCCUGAGCCAGCGAGACCACGAACCGAUCUGAACAUCAGAAGGGACAGACUCCAGAUGCCCCACCUUAAGAGCUGUAAUACUCACUGCAAGGGUCUGCAGCUUCAUUCUUGAAGUCAGACCAAGAACCCAGCAAUUCCCAACACACAGGGACCAGCUUCUUUCCUAACUCACUUAGGCUCUUCGUGCUGCUCUGGCAACUAACACCCUUGGCUGCAGGGGCUUGGACACUACCCUUAGUCACUGACAAUUGUGUGAAGGCUGCUGUCGUUAACUUCACUUGAUCACCUUAGGCUCCUGUGAAGUGGUGAGCAAUUCAAACAAAUUCCUGUCGUCAAAUCAUGAGUCCACCUGUCCCGAGUUGGAAGUCUGAACUCAUGUUCCUGGAUUCCUCCCAUGCAUCUUGGUGCUGGUGUGGGGCCUGAACUCAGCCAAUCCGCAACACCUCCAGGAGUCUUCCUCUUAGAUGCUGAGGCCACGGAGAAGGAAGCAGCACAAAGAAUGAACCCUGGAGAGGGUGCCAGAGGCAGGCGGGUUCCAGCCAUGUGGCGGCACAGCCUUACUGGGAUAGUCUAGCUGUGUCACUCAGAAUCCUGAUUUUGUUUGGAAGGACAGCGUGCCUGGUUCCAGAUGGAGAAAUUGCACUGCAGAGAAAUCUUUAAAAGCAAUUACCUAAUACUGCAGAUUGCUGAACUGUACCCACACCCAAGACUGAGCAUUGGAUCAAUCCAGAAUAUACAUCAGGUGUUCUGCAAUGUCUGCCUAAAACCAUGACUCUGCCUCCUCCAGCUGUUGCUACAUCUCACUAUGGGUUUCCUGUGACAUUUUGAGCAAGUAUGCCUCUGUGACUGGGGUUCUUACACUCCAGAAUGGAUGAGAAGCACCGUAAGUGGCUUUUAAAAUGAAUAUUCCCUGGCCCUUCAGUCGCUCUAUAGGUCAAGAAUCUGAAUUCUCAACCUGUCUAGAAGGUUCUGGUUUUAAUGGUCUGUGGGCUGCACAUUGAGAAACCUGUUCAGCGAGUGCAACAAAGGUUCCACAUGUGAGAAAGGAAGCAUCAGGUCUCUUGAGCCUGUUCUUUAAUCUGUAGGCUGCACCUUCUCUUUAAAUUCUGCUAAUAACACCAUGCGAGAAAACACCCGAGCUUGAAAAGCCCAUGUUCCAACAUAACUGUCCUUCACCACUCUGGAAAAUUAAUGGUUUGUUUCGAUUAUCCCUUUGUUAAACUCCAAAGUCAAAGAGCUCUGAAAGGCAUACGGUUAUUUUAAGUUUCAGGUGAUUUCUGUUGCCAAAUAUUUUAAAAAUUUAAAAUUGCUACGUGACCUCUUAGUAGUACUAUUAGAUUUCCUGACAAUAAAAAUAAGUCUUUUGGUUUCACCAUUUAUAGUUAGUA